This 484-nucleotide ribosomal RNA is filed under the name uncultured bacterium. Its description in RNAcentral is "partial 16S ribosomal RNA". It matches the Rfam family "Bacterial small subunit ribosomal RNA", at positions 30 to 507 of the family's 1533-position model. The record is from RNAcentral.
AUUGAACGCUGGCGGCAGGCCUAACACAUGCAAGUCGAGCGGAUGAAGGGAGCUUGCUCCUGGAUUCAGCGGCGGACGGGUGAGUAAUGCCUAGGAAUCUGCCUGGCAGUGGGGGAUAACGUCCGGAAACGGGCGCUAAUACCGCAUACGUCCUGAGGGAGAAAGUGGGGGAUCUUCGGACCUCACGCUAUCAGAUGAGCCUAGGUCGGAUUAGCUAGUUGGUGGGGUAAGGGCCUACCAAGGCGACGAUCCGUAACUGGCCUGAGAGGAUGAUCAGUCACACUGGAACUGAGCCACGGUCCAGACUCCUACGGGAGGCAGCAGUGGGGAAUAUUGGACAAUGGGCGAAAGCCUGAUCCAGCCAUGCCGCGUGUGUGAAGAAGGUCUUCGGAUUGUAAAGCACUUUAAGUUGGGAGGAAGGGCAGUAAGUUAAUACCUUGCUGUUUUGACGUUACCAACAGAAUAAGCACCGGCUAACUUCGUG